GCAGCACGGGAGCUUGCUCCUGGUGGCGAGUGGCGAACGGGUGAGUAAUACAUCGGAACGUACCCUGAAGUGGGGGAUAACGUACCGAAAGUUACGCUAAUACCGCAUAUUCUGUGAGCAGGAAAGAGGGGGAUCGAAAGACCUCUUGCUUUAGGAGCGGCCGAUGUCGGAUUAGCUAGUUGGUGAGGUAAAGGCUCACCAAGGCGACGAUCCGUAGCGGGUCUGAGAGGAUGAUCCCCCACCCUGGGACUGAGACACGGCCCAUACUCCUACGGGCGGCAGCCGUGGGGAAUUUUGGACAAUGGGCCAAGCCCGAUCCAUC
This 322-nucleotide ribosomal RNA is filed under the name uncultured bacterium. Its description in RNAcentral is "bacterial SSU rRNA". It matches the Rfam family "Bacterial small subunit ribosomal RNA", at positions 66 to 392 of the family's 1533-position model. The record is from RNAcentral.